This is a non-coding RNA of Biomphalaria pfeifferi, 1429 nucleotides long. The record is from the annotation of a GenBank genome assembly. NCBI's taxonomy places the organism in Eukaryota, Metazoa, Mollusca, Gastropoda, Planorbidae.
UUUGAAAAAAUUACAUUAUCAAUCCAUUGACUUUAAAAAUAAUCCCUUUUAUAAAUGAUUUCAAGGUUUUUAGUUUGACUGAUUAGUCUUGUACUUUUCUUCAGCCGUUUUCCUGUAUAUAAAUGUUUCCCUGUGAACUAAAAUUGUGAUAAAAAAAUAUUCAUUCUAACAAGUAAAAAACAAUUAUUUCAAAGCACAAAACAAGUCAGGAUUUACUGUAAGCUGAUAUUUGUCAUGUGAUCAAUUCAUUUAAUUUUAGGUAAAAAAAAAAUAUAAAUGAUGUCACCCUAGUUAUUAAGGUUUAAGAAACAAAAAUUCAAAAAGCUAUAAUGCAAUUAUCUAUGUGACAAUAGCAUAGAAUAUAUAUUUGUGAUUUGAAAAACAAACCAAAAAAUCUUUUCAAAACAUUUAUUCACAACAUAUCUAUAUAUAUAUAUGCAAUUGUUUUUCCCACCUAAUAAAUAAUUAUUUUAUAUAGACUAGAACAUUUUUUCCCAUUUGUACAGACUUCAUGAUAUUUUUUUUAAACACAGCAAUACAACACCAUACAUUAAAGAAUAUUAAUUAUUAUACUGCUCAUUUAUAGUAUGGCUAUAUAUUCCAAUACAUAAAUAUGAAUUAUUUAUUAAUGUGACCAUUCUAACACUUUACAAAAAAAUUCACACAAUGGCAAGCAAUGAACAUUUGAAAGAACAGAACCAAAUUGAGAGUUCAGAAGGUAUUUGCCAGAUAAUUGCACUCAAGUACGUUACUGGUCACUACAUGAUCUUGUUGUGUAGCAUAUCAACACAAAGUCCUUUAUUGCAAUACCUUGUGUCUCAAUAGUUACUGUCAUAUACGAAAUACUAUAAUGUCUAUGGAUGUUUAAGCAAUACUAUGAUUCUUACACUGUUUAAAAACACCCAUUGUACAAGGCCAACAAAUAGUAAUGCAAGGGAAAUGUUAUGCAUCAUGUAACAGGAUUUGGUCAAAAUUCCUUUUGAUUCUGAAACAAGCAAAUCAAAGUCAAAGACACCAAAAAAUAUAUAUAAAGAUAUGAGCAGUGAAUGCAUUUAUAUUUCAAACGCACCUACUUGACUUACAUGAAAAUAUAAUCAACUUUGCAAUCUUAACAAACAUUUUUUAAGCCUGACAAUUUAUAUAAAGUAUAGAUAGAAAAACUAAAUAGGCUUGGUAUUAAUGAAGAGGUAAGAUAUGCGUCAUAUUUCUGAAACUACAAUAAUAUACAAAUUCUCUUAUAAUUUUUUUUAAGAUUAAAACGAUUCGUAAUGUAACAAAAAUAAUGAUGAAAAUAAUUUAUAAUUUUAGUCUUGGCCAGAAAUAUAAAUUGAAAAAAAAAAGAAAUUUAUUAAAAAACAAAACAAAAUGAAACCCAGCAGUCAAUAUGAAAACAUUCCAAUUCAAGAUUUAUAAAUGUAGAAGACAAUAA